RNAcentral lists this ribosomal RNA (292 nucleotides) under uncultured bacterium. Its description in RNAcentral is "partial 16S ribosomal RNA". It matches the Rfam family "Bacterial small subunit ribosomal RNA", at positions 505 to 796 of the family's 1533-position model. The record is from RNAcentral.
GUGCCAGCAGCCGCGGUAAGACGGAGGGGGCAAGCGUUGUCCGGAAUCACUGGGCGUAAAGCGCACGUAGGUGGCCUGCUGCGUCGGCGCUGAAAGCGCCCCGCUUAACGGGGCGAGGCGUGCCGAUACGAGCAAGCUUGAGGCAGGGAGAGGGUGGCGGAAUUCCGGGUGUAGUGGUGAAAUGCGUAGAGAUCCGGAGGAACGCCUGUGGCGCAAGCGGCCACCUGGCCCUGACCUGACACUGAGGUGCGAAAGCGUGGGGAGCGAACCGGAUUAGAAACCCGCGUAGUCC